UACGUAGGCAGCGAGCGUUGUUCGGAGUUACUGGGCGUAAAGGGUGUGUAGGCGGUUGUUUAAGUUUGGGGUGAAAUCUCCCGGCUCAACUGGGAGGGUGCGCCGAAUACUGAAUGACUUCGAGUGCGGGAGAGGAAAGUGGAAUUCCUGGUGUAGCGGUGAAAUGCGUAGAUAUCAGGAGGAACACCGGUGGCGAAAGCGGCCACCUGGACUGCACCUGACGCUGACACGCGAAAGCUAGGGGAGCGAACGGG
This 254-nucleotide ribosomal RNA is filed under the name uncultured bacterium. Its description in RNAcentral is "partial 16S ribosomal RNA". It matches the Rfam family "Bacterial small subunit ribosomal RNA", at positions 524 to 776 of the family's 1533-position model. The record is from RNAcentral.